This 301-nucleotide ribosomal RNA is filed under the name uncultured bacterium. RNAcentral's name for it is "partial 16S ribosomal RNA". It matches the Rfam family "Bacterial small subunit ribosomal RNA", at positions 509 to 807 of the family's 1533-position model. The record is from RNAcentral.
CAGCCGCCACGGUAAUACGUAGGGUGCAAGCGUUAAUCGGAAUUACUGGGCGUAAAGCGUGCGCAGGCGGUUUUGUAAGACAGAGGUGAAAUCCCCGGGCUCAACCUGGGAACUGCCUUUGUGACUGCAAGGCUAGAGUACGGCAGAGGGGGAUGGAAUUCCGCGUGUAGCAGUGAAAUGCGUAGAUAUGCGGAGGAACACCGAUGGCGAAGGCAAUCCCCUGGGCCUGUACUGACGCUCAUGCACGAAAACGUGGGGAGCAAACAGGAUUAGAUACCCCGGUAGUCCCUGUCUCUUAUAC